AGCUCUGUCCACUUCAGCCCAGCCAAGUCAUUAGAGGUUUCUAAGCAGAGGAUUGUGUUAUGAAGCCUCAUACACACUGCUAGCUACAUCAGCAUCCCUGGGUUGCUAAACACAUAUUUUUACCACCCAAAUUCAGGUUUAGGGGGAUUUUGAUCCAUGGAGGAAGGUCUCAGCCAAGCACUGAAAAGAUGCUCGUUAGCCUCCAAAAUAUAAAUAAAAUAUUUACAAAGAGAAUAAUUGACUUUUGAUGUUUACUUCAGGCUAUGGUUAAGCAGGCAGUGUCUGUGCUGAGCAAUGCAGUGACCACCUGCCACAAAUGCUGUGAUAUUUGACAGAUCCCUUUCUGCCAAGAACUAUAAUUCCUAUUUAAAUCUAAAUAGAGGAGCCAUGAAUGCAGAUUUCUCAUCACAAAGACGCUGAUGUUAAUCCCCGGUACAGAAAAAAAAAUAAGAAAAGCCAGAACGUUUUAUUGGAUUUUAUAUGGAAGAUAAUUAAACAGUAUUUCUUCUUUACUUGUUAUACAGCAUCCCAUCAACUUUCCUGAAAUUUGUUUAUAAAGGAAACCAGAAAGUUUCAUUACAUUUAUAUGUAAAAGAAAAUUAGCAUUUUGUAUCUUUGGGCUCACAUUAGAAUAACAAAAAGGCAGGUAAACAAAAAUGACCAAAAAAAUAUACCAAUAAAUGGAGGAGAAUAAAAAGAAAAAAGUGAGGAAGGCACAAUGCUGUUCUCCUACGUACAGCUUUAUAUUCCAAGCAUGCUAACAGAAUGAAUGUUUAUGUGCAUACGUACAUAUCAUAUAUAUUCAAAUACCGAGCAGUUCUGAAAAGCUAAGCUCCCAGAAGUUAGAGGAAAUGCAAGAAUUACAUGUGCUUGCACACCCCUCAUUUGGCCUUUUUGCUUGUGUACACGGACGGGUGCUAUUUUUUUCACACACUCAUUGCACAAAAUGGUGCAGUGUAGGCAGAAAAUUGGCUGGCAGCAUGAUGUAAUCUCCGUGAGCUGCUUUGCAGAAGCCUGUUUCUUUCUGCCCACAAGCCAGUUUGGUAUUUUGGAUGUACCCAAGGAAGUUCUCUUAGCAUGUUUCCCAGCAGCCAGUGGUGCCUUCCUACUGAUAGGACCGAAUCCCAGCACGGAGCCAUCGCCACAGGCAGGAGGAUGACAAACAGGAGGCACAACAGGUACAAGGCAGAAAUCCGUCUUAAAUUCACUUGACUCGUCAGCUGUUUUAUGGGCCUUGUUGUCGCUGCUCGCACACUUGUAUUCUGCUGGUGUCAGUACAGCAACUUCACUGAAGUCCUCCUGUGUAAGAGCACUUCAGGCCCUCCAGAC
This 1329-nucleotide long non-coding RNA is filed under the name Coturnix japonica (Japanese quail). RNAcentral describes it as "lncRNA (ENSCJPG00005016402.1)". Lineage: Eukaryota; Metazoa; Chordata; Aves; Galliformes; Phasianidae. The record is from RNAcentral.